AAAGGUAGCUGAACAUGCCAUGAAGAACAAGCUGGGAAGCAGCAUUCCUCCAUGGUUUCUGCUUCAGUUUCUGCCUCUAGGUUCCUGCCCUGGCUUCCCUUAGCGAUGGAGAAGACAUUAGAAUACAGAUGUGAUGUACUAAACAAGGUGGACCAUGGCCAACGGGCCAUUAGAGGUGUGGUGGCAAGGUGUGGGAGUGAAAGCAUCUUGCAGCAGCGUUGCUGAUCCAUGGGCAGGCCUGGUUCUUCAACCGAGCUGGCACUUACGUGAACUUCAGCCAUGUGUUCCAGCCUUCUCUCUCUUUGCAGGACAGAGUGGUACUUUACAAGUUCCUUACAUGCCGGAUGAGAAACUGGAAAUCCUUUUCCUUGCUGGCACCCUUCUCUGCAGGGCUCAGAGGUGUGGACCCUGGUUGGAAGAGGUCUAAGGAUGGAUCCACUGUUGAAAGGAGUACUUCCUAGCCACUGAAAGACCGCUCCUCUCUGCCACUCUCCUCCCUUGAAGAUGGACCAAAGCCUCUGAAACCAGGAGACAACAUAAGACACCCACCUUCAGAGAGGUUUCCUGGCUGACGGCAACAUCUGUCCUGAACUGUAAAAGGGCCUCUACUCACUCCUCCUCCACUCCCUCUGUGGGCAUGUAAAUAUGGGUGCAAAAAACCUAUGGUACUUCUCUGAUUUCAAAGGAUUAUGGGAGAACAGAAUUAGUUUUUAGUCAUAUCUCAGGAUUUCAAGUUUCAUACCGUCAGUUAAACCAAGGACUACCAGGAGCUUCACCUUUCCUUCCUCUGACCUUUUCUGAAAACAAAGAUGACCUCAGAAGAGCUGAGCUGAAGGUUCAACCAGGAACUGGAUUCUAAGCACGGUGUUGCUGUAAGCCAUGAGGAUGUAACAGCUUCGAAAAUGGUUUAUUCAGAGGAAAGGGUGAAGGCGUCAGUGACUCUAUCACUGGCGCGACCCGCGUUUUCUGGUGUGGUGUUCACAUUCUAGUGUGAAGAGCACCACUAAACUAUGGUGCCGUAGCUUCGGAUGCCAGGUGUGCCAACACGAUUGUGUUCUACUGUAACGUUCUUCAUCAGGAACCGCACAAUCAAGUACUUUUAAAUCCCAUGUUGUAAUUAAGUUUAUGAUUUUCAUUUGGGCUGCAUGAGGCCUGUGGGUUGUAGGUUGGACACCUCUUAGAUCACCCAAAUUUGGGGA
This is a non-coding RNA of Peromyscus maniculatus bairdii (prairie deer mouse), 1199 nucleotides long. The record is from RefSeq and is a predicted model, not a curated record. NCBI's taxonomy places the organism in Eukaryota, Metazoa, Chordata, Mammalia, Rodentia, Cricetidae.